UUUUCGGAUGGAUUUUUAGUUGACUGAGUGGCGGACGGGUGAGUAACGCGUGGGUAACCUGCCUCAUACAGGGGGAUAACAGUUAGAAAUGACUGCUAAUACCGCAUAAGCGCACAGCUUCGCAUGAAGCAGUGUGAAAAACUCCGGUGGUACAAGAUGGACCCGCGUCUGAUUAGCUGGUUGGUGAGGUAACGGCUCACCAAGGCGACGAUCAGUAGCCGGCCUGAGAGGGUGAACGGCCACACUGGAACUGAGACACGGUCCAGACUCC
RNAcentral lists this ribosomal RNA (271 nucleotides) under uncultured Eubacteriales bacterium. Its description in RNAcentral is "uncultured Clostridiales bacterium partial 16S ribosomal RNA". It matches the Rfam family "Bacterial small subunit ribosomal RNA", at positions 68 to 339 of the family's 1533-position model. Lineage: Bacteria; Bacillati; Bacillota; Clostridia; Eubacteriales. The record is from RNAcentral.